RNAcentral lists this ribosomal RNA (713 nucleotides) under Zanomys californica. RNAcentral's name for it is "eukaryotic LSU rRNA". The stretch from base 452 to 713 matches the Rfam family "Eukaryotic large subunit ribosomal RNA", at positions 665 to 898 of the family's 3401-position model. Lineage: Eukaryota; Metazoa; Arthropoda; Arachnida; Araneae; Macrobunidae. The record is from RNAcentral.
AUUCAGUCUGGAGGCGCGGACGUGCAGGUCGGAAGACAGCAGGGCAUCCCCGAGCGGGGGCCGUCCGCCUCACGCAGCUCCGUGUCCGCCAGACGCAUUUCCUCUCGUCCGAAGGACGCCGCAGCCGGCUGGGUAGUGCAAGCGCGACGGCCUGAGGGGCGGAAGAUGGCAGGUGGCCGGUGGCCCGCCCCGUGCGGGUUGCCGGUUGUUAGCCUUUCCGUCAGUGGCUCGUCACCCGGCCGAGGUGUCGCUAGGCCCUUCGGGGCCUCAACGUCUCCUCCCUUGCUGGAAGUCGGGACGGAGCACAGCAGGUGGGAGCCGUCGUCCCGUUCGCACCCCUACGGGGUGGUCGGGCGAACGCGUUCCCGCCGUUGGUGGUGCCGGGCCCGUCGGAGGUCGGAGGCUGGCGGCGAGUAGGUCGGUCACCCACCCGACCCGUCUUGAAACACGGACCAAGGAGUCUAACAUGUGCGCGAGUCAAUGGGUCUUGAAUAGGCCCAGGGGCGCAAUGAAAGCAAAGGCCGACCCCACGUCGGCUGAGUUGGGAUCUCCCGUCUCGGCGGGGGCGCACCGACGACCCGUCCUAUCCGGUCCGCCGGUUGGGCGGAGUGAGAGCGUACACGUUGGGACCCGAAAGAUGGUGAACUAUGCCCGGACAGGACGAAGCCAGAGGAAACUCUGGUGGAGGUCCGCAGCGGUUCUGACGUGCAAAU